RNAcentral lists this ribosomal RNA (441 nucleotides) under uncultured eukaryote. RNAcentral describes it as "SSU rRNA". It matches the Rfam family "Eukaryotic small subunit ribosomal RNA", at positions 587 to 972 of the family's 1831-position model. The record is from RNAcentral.
AGCUCCAAUAGUGUAUAUUAAAGUUGCUGCGGUUAAAAAGCUCGUAGUUGGAUUUCGGAGUUGUUAUUCUUGGGUCUUCGACCGUAAAAAGUUGGGGAUCGGGGGUAACGAUAGUCUUCAUCACAGUCCAUCGGGAUACUCUCUCGGUGAGUGCUGGGUGUUGACCUCUUUUGAUUCUGUUACUGGUGGUCAGCAAUGGUCAUCGGUUCAGAUAGUUUACUUUGAAAAAAUUAGAGUGUUCAAAGCAGGCAUAAUUGGCAUCGUGAAUACAUUAGCAUGGGAUAAUAGAAUAUGACAUCGGUCUUAAUUUUGUUGGUUUCUAAGGCCGGAGUAAUGACUAAUAGGGAUAGUUGGGGUCGCUCGUAUUGAAUCGUCAGAGGUGAAAUUCUAGGAUUGAUUCAAGACGAACUAAUGCGAAAGCAUUCGACAAGGAUGUUUUCA